AUGGCGAAACCUCCGCGCCACACCCUGACCAUGCCGUCCGCCCACCCUCGCGGGAUCCCGAAACGCGCGCUCCCGCGACUCGGUGCGGCACUCUUUUUUGUAACCCUCGUCGGCGUCGCCCUGCCCUUGGCCGUGCUGCACCGUGCCGCCGUCUCGCGGCACCCGCUGGAGGACCCGUGGGGGCGGUACCCGCUUCCCUCGCUCGCCGCAGACGACGAGGAGAGCGCCCAAGGUGAUGAUCUGGACAGUGAGGAUCUCAAACUUGACCGAGUUUUGCAGAAGGCUUCAAUGAGGGACAACACAGUUAUAUUGACUACACUUAAUGCUGCAUGGGCUUCUCCUGGCUCGGUGAUAGAUCUAUUUGUUGAUAGUUUUCGCUCUGGUGUUAGAACAAGUUCACUCUUGAACCAUCUAGUCAUUAUAGCAUUUGAUGGGGAUGCGUACAGACAAUGUGUCAAGAUCCACCACUAUUGCUUUGCUCUUGGAACUGAAGGUGUGGAUUUUUCUGAAGAGAAGAGGUUCUUGACUUCUGGGUAUCUGGAGAUGAUGUGGAAACGACUAGAUUUCUUGCGGCUGGUUCUUGAAAAGGGCUACAGCUUCAUAUUCUCGGAUGCAGACAUAAUGUGGUUUCGCAAUCCAUUUCCUCACUUCUAUCCUAAUGGUGACCUUCAGAUUGCUUGCGACCACUAUGUUGUGAAUGCAACAGACUUGAGAAACAUUGCUAAUGGAGGCUUCAAUUAUGUGAAAUCGAAUGAACGGACCAUAGAGUUCUACAGUUUCUGGUACUCAUCACGAUUGAGAUAUCCUGGCUACCAUGAUCAGGAUGUCUUCAAUGCUAUUAAGCAUGAUCCAUAUGUCGCAGACAUUGGGCUGGAAAUUAAGUUUUUAAGUACAGCAUACUUUGGCGGAUUUUGUGAACCAAGCAGAGAUUUAAAUAAGGUCUGCACUAUGCACGCUAACUGUUGCAUCGGUUUGCGGAGCAAGAUUCAUGAUCUGAGGAUUAUGAUGGAAGAUUGGAGGAACUAUUUGUCACUGCCUCCAAGCUUGAAAAGAUUGUUGACAUUGUCCUGGAGGGUGCCACAAAAUUGCAGCCUUUCUUCGCUAAACUAA
RNAcentral lists this ribosomal RNA (1110 nucleotides) under Triticum aestivum (bread wheat). RNAcentral describes it as "partial small subunit ribosomal RNA". The record is from RNAcentral. Lineage: Eukaryota; Viridiplantae; Streptophyta; Magnoliopsida; Poales; Poaceae.